CCUACGGGCGACAGCAGUGGGAAAUAUUGGGCAAUGGGCGCAAGCCUGACCCAGCAACGCCGCGUGAAGGAAGAAGGCUUUCGGGUUGUAAACUUCUUUUGUCAGGGACGCAGCAAGUGACGGUACCUGACGAAUAAGCCACGGCUAACUACGUGCCAGCAGCCGCGGUAAUACGUAGGUGGCAAGCGUUAUCCGGAUUUACUGGGUGUAAAGGGCGUGUAGGCGGGGAAGCAAGUCAGAUUUGAAAGCCACGGGCUCAACCUGUGGCCUGCAUUUGAAACUGUGUUUCUUGAGUACUGGAGAGGCAGACGGAAUUCCUAGUGUAGCGGUGAAAUGCGUAGAUAUCAGGAGGAACAUCGGUGGCGUAAGCGCUUUACUGGGCCGUAAUUGACGCUGAGGAACGAAAGCCAGGGUAGCAAAUGGGAUUAGAUACCCUGGUAGUC
RNAcentral lists this ribosomal RNA (443 nucleotides) under uncultured bacterium. RNAcentral's name for it is "partial 16S ribosomal RNA". It matches the Rfam family "Bacterial small subunit ribosomal RNA", at positions 338 to 795 of the family's 1533-position model. The record is from RNAcentral.